Ribosomal RNA from Kibdelosporangium phytohabitans, 3119 nucleotides. It matches the Rfam family "Bacterial large subunit ribosomal RNA". The record is from Rfam. Lineage: Bacteria; Bacillati; Actinomycetota; Actinomycetes; Pseudonocardiales; Pseudonocardiaceae.
GGUCAAGUUGUUAAGGGCAUACGGUGGAUGCCUUGGCAUCAGGAGCCGAUGAAGGACGUGGGAGGCUGCGAUAUGCCUCGGGGAGCUGUCAACCGAGCUGUGAUCCGAGGAUUUCCGAAUGGGGAAACCCGGCACCCGUUAUGGGGUGUCACCCGCACCUGAAUAUAUAGGGUGUGUGGAGGGAACGCGGGGAAGUGAAACAUCUCAGUACCCGUAGGAAGAGAAAACAACCGUGAUUCCGUGAGUAGUGGCGAGCGAAAGCGGAUGAGGCUAAACCUGCUGCGUGUGAUACCUGACAGGGGUUGCGUAGUGGGGGUCGUGGGACCCACUGGGUCGGGCUGUCAACCGACCGGGGAGUCAUAAAAUCAUGUUGCUAGUCGAAUCGGUCUGGAAAGCCGAGCCGUAGAGGGUGAGAGUCCCGUAGGCGAAAGCGCGUGAUCUUCCUUGGUGGUGUUCCCGAGUAGCAGCGAGCUCGUGGAAUUUGCUGUGAAUUUGGCGGGACCACCCGUUAAGCCUAAAUACUUCCUGAUGACCGAUAGCGGACUAGUACCGUGAGGGAAAGGUGAAAAGUACCCCGGGAGGGGAGUGAAAGAGUACCUGAAACCGUGUGCCUACAAGCCGUCAGAGCCUUACGGGGUGAUGGCGUGCCUUUUGAAGAAUGAGCCUGCGAGUUAGUGCUGCGUGGCGAGGUUAACCCGUGUGGGGUAGCCGUAGCGAAAGCGAGUCUGAAUAGGGCGUUGAGUCGCGUGGUCUAGACCCGAAGCGGAGUGAUCUACCCAUGGCCAGGGUGAAGCGCCGGUAAGACGGUGUGGAGGCCCGAACCCACCAGGGUUGAAAACCUGGGGGAUGAGCUGUGGGUAGGGGUGAAAGGCCAAUCAAACUCCGUGAUAGCUGGUUCUCCCCGAAAUGCAUUUAGGUGCAGCGUCGUGUGUUUCUCAUCGGGGGUAGAGCACUGGAUGGUCUAGGGGGCCUACAAGCUUACCAAAAUCAACCAAACUCCGAAUACCGGUGAGUGAGAGCGCGGCAGUGAGACUGUGGGGGAUAAGCUUCAUAGUCGAGAGGGAAACAGCCCAGAACACCAGCUAAGGCCCCUAAGUGUGCGCUAAGUGGGAAAGGAUGUGGGGUCGCCCAGACAACCAGGAGGUUGGCUUAGAAGCAGCCACCCUUGAAAGAGUGCGUAAUAGCUCACUGGUCAAGUGGUCCUGCGCCGACAAUGUAGCGGGGCUUAAGCGUACCGCCGAAGCUGUGUCAUUCGUACAUGUGAUCCAUUUGGUUCUUCGGAGUCUUAUGCAGUCGUGCGGAUGGGUAGGGGAGCGUCCUGUAGCCAUGGAAGCGGCGACGGAAGUCAGCCGUGGAGGCUAUGGGAGUGAGAAUGCAGGCAUGAGUAGCGAAAGCAGAGUGAGAACCUCUGCCGCCGGAUGACCAAGGGUUCCUGGGCCAGGCUAAUCCGCCCAGGGUAAGUCGGGACCUAAGGCGAGGCCGACAGGCGUAGUCGAUGGACAACGGGUUGAUAUUCCCGUACCCGCGUGAACGCGCCCAUGAUGAGGCGGUUGAUGCUAACCACCCAAAGCAGCUUUCUGAACCUUCGGGUGAGGUUUGUUGUGGAGCGUGGGAACCGAUUCCGUAUUAGUCAAGCGAUGGGGUGACGCAGGAAGGUAGUUCCGCCAGUGAGUGGAUUAACUGGUGUAAGCGUGUAGGGUCUGGUGUAGGUAAAUCCGCACUGGGUGUAUCCUGAGACGUGAUGCGUAGCCGAUUGAGGCGAAGUGGAUGAUCCUAUGCUGCCGAGAAAAGCCUCUAGUGAGUGUUCAAGCGGCCCGUACCCUAAACCGACACAGGUGGUCAGGUAGAGAAUACUAAGGCGUUCGGGUGAACUGUGGUUAAGGAACUCGGCAAAAUGCCCCCGUAACUUCGGGAGAAGGGGGGCCGUGUGGCGUGAAGGGACUUGCUCCUGGAGCGUUGUGUGGCCGCAGAGACCAGCGAGAAGCGACUGUUUACUAAAAACACAGGUCCGUGCGAAGUCGUAAGACGAUGUAUACGGACUGACGCCUGCCCGGUGCUGGAACGUUAAGAGGACGGGUUAGUCACGUGAGUGGCGAAGCUCAGAAUUUAAGCGCCAGUAAACGGCGGUGGUAACUAUAACCAUCCUAAGGUAGCGAAAUUCCUUGUCGGGUAAGUUCCGACCUGCACGAAUGGCGUAACGACUUCUCGGCUGUCUCAACCACAGGCCCGGUGAAAUUGCACUACGAGUAAAGAUGCUCGUUACGCGCGGCAGGACGGAAAGACCCCGGGACCUUUACUAUAGCUUGGUAUUGGUGCUCGGUUCGGCUUGUGUAGGAUAGGUGGGAGACUGUGAAGCUCUGACGCUAGUUAGGGUGGAGUCAUUGUUGAAAUACCACUCUGGUCGAAUUGGGUGUCUAACCUCGGACCAUGAUCUGGUUCAGGGACAGUGCCUGGUGGGUAGUUUAACUGGGGCGGUUGCCUCCCAAAGAGUAACGGAGGCGCUCAAAGGUUCCCUCAGCCUGGUUGGCAAUCAGGUGUUGAGUGCAAGUGCACAAGGGGGCUUGACUGUGAGACUGACGGGUCGAGCAGGGACGAAAGUCGGAACUAGUGAUCCGGCCAUGGCUUGUGGAAGCGUGGUCGCUCAACGGAUAAAAGGUACCCCGGGGAUAACAGGCUGAUCUUGCCCAAGAGUCCAUAUCGACGGCAUGGUUUGGCACCUCGAUGUCGGCUCGUCGCAUCCUGGGGCCGGAGUAGGUCCCAAGGGUUGGGCUGUUCGCCCAUUAAAGCGGUACGCGAGCUGGGUUUAGAACGUCGUGAGACAGUUCGGUCCCUAUCCGCCGCGCGCGUAGGAGACUUGAGGAAGGCUGUCCCUAGUACGAGAGGACCGGGACGGACGAACCUCUGGUGUGCCAGUUGUUCUGCCAAGGGCAUGGCUGGUUGGCUACGUUCGGAAGGGAUAACCGCUGAAGGCAUCUAAGCGGGAAGCUCGUUCCAAGAUGAGGUCUCCCACCCCUUUGUGGGUUAAGGCUCCCAGCUAGACGACUGGGUUGAUAGGCCAGAGAUGGAAGCACGGUAACGUGUGGAGUUGACUGGUACUAAUAGGCCGAGGACUUGCUCAC